This 108-nucleotide Y RNA is filed under the name Prolemur simus (greater bamboo lemur). RNAcentral's name for it is "Y RNA (ENSPSMG00000004163.1)". It matches the Rfam family "Y RNA". Rfam says of the family: Y RNAs are components of the Ro ribonucleoprotein particle (Ro RNP), in association with Ro60 and La proteins. The record is from Rfam by way of RNAcentral. Lineage: Eukaryota; Metazoa; Chordata; Mammalia; Primates; Lemuridae.
GGCUGGUCCGAAGGUAGUGAGUUAUCUCACUUGAUCACAGUCAGUUAUAGAUUGAACUCCUUGUUCUACUCUUUCCCCCUUCUCACUACUGCACUUGACUAGUCUUAA